UCAAUAUCUCUUUUAUUACAGAGUGCACAGUAGCGUUGAUGUCAUUCUGUUCUGUUCACUGCAUAUCUACCCGUUUCAAUUCGAAGUUUAUGAGAUGCUAACCGCAAUCUUGUCAAAGAGAUGCGAAACUUAUUAGAUUUAGAAAGACCCCAGAUUUCACAUGAGUAAUUCAGUUUUGACCCAACAAAAGCAUCAAAGAGCUGGCACACCGUCUUUGGUUUCAGCAUGUCUAGGCUAUUCUGCAGUUCCAGGGGUGUUUUACCAAAAAUGACCAUAUCAUCAGCAAACAACAUCAAUAUAAAGCUUGGGAGCCAGAGACUCUGUAUUCCCAUGGAAAUGUGAAAUGGUGCCAGUACUUUAGUAGGGACAGUGAGGGGCCAAACACGGUGCAAGUCCUUCUGUAUGUUCCCUGCCUUCAAUCUUCUAGACCUCUACUGCUGGUGCCUUCUGUUCAGAAGUAUAUUCUCUUUAAGUUUUGGCGCAGACAGUGUUCGGAGAGACUGGCAAAAAUGACUGAUAAUGAUGAAUAAAACUACAACAACAACAAUUAAGCAAAACAGACCAGAUAACUCAGAUGCUGAACUGCCAGUAGCUGCUGGAAAUGUGGGACAGAGUUAGCAUUGAAUAACUUUCAGCUGGAUCUUGUCUGGAGCUUUCUGGAGUUCAUUUGAACUACAUCUGUACAGUCAACACUAUAAUUCAGGCUGGUGAGUCUGUGAUUGGUUCUACACCAAGAAAUGAGGAGACUUCUUUGUUCUGAUGUCUGCCAUCACUCUACUGUCCUGAGAAUCACCAUAGCGAUGACCUAGGUGUCAGAACAGGAACCAGAACAUACCUUAUUGAAAACCUAGACAUUCUCAUUUUUCCAAUCUGUCAUAGGAUUCAUGGAGGUCAUAGCCAACAUAAUACAGAUGCCCCUGUUCUUAAGAUUCAUUCCUGCAAACCAAGACCAAGCUGAUGGAUAAAGUAUCGGCUGAUUCAUUUGUGUCCCUUGCUUGAAGCUGCUUCCCAUGGAAUUUUUUCACGAAGUCAUUGACUGUCGACGUGGCAUGAAGACGGAAUGUACUGAUCAGACCAAGUUUCUCCGCUGUUUCCGGGCAGCCAAUGGAAGAGCCGAG
Molecule: long non-coding RNA, 1118 nt
Organism: Mercenaria mercenaria
Lineage: Eukaryota; Metazoa; Mollusca; Bivalvia; Venerida; Veneridae
Exons: 8
Source: RefSeq, a predicted model, not a curated record